GGCUACGGCCAUGCCACCCUGAACAAGCCCGAUUUCGUCAGAUCUUGGAAGCUAAGCAGAGACGGGCCCGGUUAGUACUUGGAUGGGAGACCACCUAGGAAGACCAGGUGCUGUAGGCA
RNAcentral lists this ribosomal RNA (119 nucleotides) under Pteropus alecto (black flying fox). The record is from RNAcentral. Lineage: Eukaryota; Metazoa; Chordata; Mammalia; Chiroptera; Pteropodidae.